GAUGAACGCUGGCGGCGUGCCUAAUACAUGCAAGUCGAGCGAACGGACGAGAAGCUUGCUUCUCUGAUGUUAGCGGCGGACGGGUGAGUAACACGUGGAUAACCUACCUAUAAGACUGGGAUAACUUCGGGAAACCGUAGCUAAUACCGUAUAAUAUUUUGAACCGCAUUGUUCAAAAGUGAAAGACGGUCUUGCUGUCACUUAUAGAUGGAUCCGCGCUGCAUUAGCUAGUUGGUAAGGUAACGGCUUACCAAGGCAACGAUGCAUAGCCGACCUGAGAGGGUGAUAGGCCACACUGGAACUGAGACACGGUCCAGACUCCUACGGGAGGCAGCAGUAGGGAAUCUUCCGCAAUGGGCGAAAGCCUGACGGAGCAACGCCGCGUGAGUGAUGAAGGUCUUCGGAUCGUAAAACUCUGUUAUUAGGGAAGAACAUAUGUGUAAGUAACUGUGCACAUCUUGACGGUACCUAAUCAGAAAGCCACGGCUAACUACGUG
This 497-nucleotide ribosomal RNA is filed under the name uncultured bacterium. RNAcentral's name for it is "partial 16S ribosomal RNA". It matches the Rfam family "Bacterial small subunit ribosomal RNA", at positions 28 to 507 of the family's 1533-position model. The record is from RNAcentral.